AAGACGGGUCGGACGAUCGCGGUGGGCGCGAGCCCAUCGAGGAAGGUCCGGACUCCAUAGGGCAGGGUAACGGCUAACGGCCGUCCGGUCGCGCUUUCGGGCGGGGCUGAGGAAUAGGACCACAGAGACGAGACUGCGGCGUGGGCGUGCUUUGCGCGCACUGAUACGGCCAUCUCCGUAUUGCGCCGACCGGCAACGGGCGGCGGCAUCGCAGGGUGAAACGCGGCAACCUCUAUCCGGAGCAACAUCAAAUAGGCAUGCGUGCGGCCUCACGGCCGUGAAGGGCGGCUCCGUCCGAGCAUGCGGGUAGAUGGCUACAGCGGCUCAGCAAUGAACCGCGCAGAGGAAUGAUCGUCCGCCAGGGCAACCUGGCGUACAGAAUCCGGCCUAUAGACCCGUCUUGCAU
Molecule: RNase P RNA, 406 nt
Filed under: Achromobacter xylosoxidans
Lineage: Bacteria; Pseudomonadati; Pseudomonadota; Betaproteobacteria; Burkholderiales; Alcaligenaceae
Also listed under: 1 other name
Description: RNase P RNA component class A
Rfam family: Bacterial RNase P class A
About the family: Ribonuclease P (RNase P) is a ubiquitous endoribonuclease, found in archaea, bacteria and eukarya as well as chloroplasts and mitochondria. Its best characterised activity is the generation of mature 5'-ends of tRNAs by cleaving the 5'-leader elements of precursor-tRNAs.
Source: RNAcentral